UUUUUAGCAUAAGUAUAUCUUAGGCAAUAUUUGGGACAUACUUAUACUAAAC
This 52-nucleotide microRNA precursor is filed under the name Callithrix jacchus (white-tufted-ear marmoset). RNAcentral describes it as "mir-1302 microRNA precursor family". It matches the Rfam family "mir-1302 microRNA precursor family". The record is from Rfam by way of RNAcentral. Lineage: Eukaryota; Metazoa; Chordata; Mammalia; Primates; Cebidae.